This 180-nucleotide unclassified non-coding RNA is filed under the name uncultured fungus. RNAcentral describes it as "sequence contains ITS1". Lineage: Eukaryota; Fungi. The record is from RNAcentral.
UUAACUAUUUGUUUUUUACUUCAGGCUGCAAAGGGUUGCGAGGGUUUGGGUUUCGGCCGGAGGGACCCCCAAAGGGGACCCGCCUGACGCCGAUCAUGGGGCUGGAAGCGAAGGGUGGGGGUGGGCGCCGAAGCGCCCGGUGACCCAGUAAUGAUCCUUCCGCAGGUUCACCUACGGAGA